CUUUACUGAGUCUUACGUUAUGUUAAUUGCCAUUUUCUCUGAGUUUGGUGGUUAGCCAAUUCUCUUUGUCUUUGAUAUCAAUAUCGAGGAAUAAUCUUGCAAGGUUGUCAUACUGGUUUCAAACAAACUUAAUUUCUGUUACAAGAAGUGUUUGAAGUUUGUUGAAAAAAAUUUUAAGUGUACGAGCCUCAACAUUUAUAUAGAACUUUUUUUAUAUUUGUUUUGGUUGGGGUGGGGCAGGGGGCACCUGCAGUUCGGUUGUGUUCAGGUAAAAGCCUUACAAGGCUCUUUUUCC
Molecule: unclassified non-coding RNA, 295 nt
Filed under: Hevea brasiliensis (rubber tree)
Lineage: Eukaryota; Viridiplantae; Streptophyta; Magnoliopsida; Malpighiales; Euphorbiaceae
Source: RNAcentral